AAGCACGGCCACACCGCCUGGUUCACGCCCGAUCUCGUUUUAUCUCGGAAGCUAAGAUAGGGUGGGCCUGGUUAGUACUUGGAUGGGAGACCGCCUGGGAAUACCAGGUGCUGUAAGAU
Molecule: ribosomal RNA, 119 nt
Filed under: Scophthalmus maximus (turbot)
Lineage: Eukaryota; Metazoa; Chordata; Actinopteri; Pleuronectiformes; Scophthalmidae
Source: RNAcentral